UCGACGGAGUUAUCAUUUCAGAAGCAAUUAGCUUGCUAAGAGUGGAAUAGAGGAUAACUUAGUGGCGGACGGGUGAGUAACGCGUGGGGAACCUGCCCUGCACCGGGGGAUAACACCUGGAAACAGGUGCUAAUACCGCAUAAGCGCACGAGGCCGCAUGGCCAGGUGUGAAAAACUAAGGUGGUGCAGGAUGGACCCGCGUCUGAUUAGCUUGUUGGUAGGGUAACGGCCUACCAAGGCGACGAUCAGUAGCCGGCCUGAGAGGGUGAACGGCCACAUUGGGACUGAGACACGGCCCAAACUCCUACGGGAGGCAGCAGUGGGGAAUAUUGGACAAUGGGGGAAACCCUGAUCCAGCGACGCCGCGUGAGUGAAGAAGUAUUUCGGUAUGUAAAGCUCUAUCAGCAGGGAAGAAAAUGACGGUACCUGACUAAGAAGCCCCGGCUAACUACGUGCCAGCAGCCGCGGUAAUACGUAGGGGGCAAGCGUUAUCCGGAUUUACUGGGUGUAAAGGGAGCGUAGACGGCAUAGCAAGUCUGAUCUGAAAGAUCGGGGCUCAACCCCGGGCCUGCAUUGGAAACUGUUAAGCUGGAGUACAGGAGAGGUAAGCGGAAUUCCUAGUGUAGCGGUGAAAUGCGUAGAUAUUAGGAGGAACACCAGUGGCGAAGGCGGCUUACUGGACUGUAACUGACGUUGAGGCUCGAAAGCGUGNGGAGCAAACAGGAUUAGAUANCCUGGUAGUCCACGCCGU
RNAcentral lists this ribosomal RNA (751 nucleotides) under uncultured bacterium. RNAcentral's name for it is "bacterial SSU rRNA". It matches the Rfam family "Bacterial small subunit ribosomal RNA", at positions 37 to 803 of the family's 1533-position model. The record is from RNAcentral.